CCAGGCGCACCGGCUGGCCUCCGAGCUCUACCAGCAGGCUUUCAUGGGAGCGGAGGUGCCCACGUUUCCAUUGUGCGGUAACCGCGCUUCAUCACAGCCACCUCCAAUCGAGGCCGCACGGUGUCCCCAGAACCACGCUCGGUACAACCUGCCCCGGCCGCUGCGCUCGACUUGGGAGCGCGCCCCGCCCCGAGCGCACGACCUCCCUUCCCUCUCCGCGACUUGAGCUUGCUUCCCGGAAAGCCAGUGUAGUGGCAGCGGUUUGCCUCACAGCGCCCCUGGCAGCACUGAGAAGUGAAGGAAUAUUUGGGAGGAUCAGAAGCUUGGUCCUGAUUUUGCCAUCAACAGGAACUUGAUGACUUCAAGGGAGUCCCCAAACCCUGGGUUUCUGUUUUCUCAACUCUAACAUGAGGGGCUAGAUGCAUCUGGUUUAGUUAGUCUCCAUGAUGGUUUAGUUCGUCUCCAUGAUCCUGUGAAUUUCAGAUGUUGAAAAUCUUUGGAAAAGCCCUGAAAGAUGAACAGUGGUCUCAAAUAGUCAAGACCCCCUGCUGGGAGGAGCUAUCCUGCUCUUUGGAA
Molecule: non-coding RNA, 576 nt
Filed under: Pan troglodytes (chimpanzee)
Lineage: Eukaryota; Metazoa; Chordata; Mammalia; Primates; Hominidae
Source: RNAcentral